UACGUAGGGCGCAAGCGUUAUCCGGAAUUAUUGGGCGUAAAGAGCUCGUAGGCGGUUUGUCGCGUCUGCCGUGAAAGUCCGGGGCUCAACUCCGGAUCUGCGGUGGGUACGGGCAGACUAGAGUGAUGUAGUGGAGACUGGAAUUCCUGGUGUAGCGGUGAAAUGCGCAGAUAUCAGGAGGAACACCGAUGGCGAAGGCAGGUCUCUGGGCAUUAACUGACGCUGAGGAGCGAAAGCAUGGGGAGCGAACAGG
Molecule: ribosomal RNA, 253 nt
Filed under: uncultured bacterium
Lineage: Bacteria
Description: partial 16S ribosomal RNA
Rfam family: Bacterial small subunit ribosomal RNA
Source: RNAcentral